Long non-coding RNA from Gasterosteus aculeatus aculeatus (three-spined stickleback), 696 nucleotides. The record is from Ensembl. NCBI's taxonomy places the organism in Eukaryota, Metazoa, Chordata, Actinopteri, Perciformes, Gasterosteidae.
GCUUAGCUGAGUUCAAUGUGAAAGCAACUUGCCAACACAGUGUAUUAUUCACAUGUAAUUCAACAAAAGUAAGAUACCUCUCGUAUCUCAUAUCCCGCUUACUUACAAUAAAGGCAACAGAACAUCUGACCUUAGAAUGGUUUGCAAACAAGCUUAUUUACAAUUUCAGCAACUUUCGGUUCAUCAUCAACAAUAUUCAUCAACAUAGGAGUUUUGUUUAAGAAAGGUGAAGAAAGAAAAUAAGCUUGAACUUCUUUGUGAAAUGUUUUUGUGUAGACUCUCCCAAAUCUUCCGUUUUCAUUUUGAAGGUUUCCAAAGGACAAACAUGUGAGGAAGAAGUGGCUUUGAGGGGAGAUGGACUUACAGCAAGUGAUUCAUCAGUGCUUCGCUGUGAACACUUCAAGCAGAGGGACUUUGAUAAGACGGGUCAGAUUGUCCCACUCCGAGAUGGUGUUAUUCCAUCAGUCUUCAGCUUCCCGGUUCACCUCCAAAAAGAUUCCCAAGAAAUGGCAACCUCACACCCACAGCCUCAGCCUAAGGAUGAUCGUGGUCACGCCUGCUCCUCCUACCGCUCUUAAGACGAGACUCAACGAAGCCUUGGCAGGAGUGGGUUACAAGUGGAGAGUUACAUUCUGCACUGCAUGGUUAGUUAGACCCUCUUUGGUGCAAACACCCGGCGUUCUGUUGAAGUUAUUU